Molecule: long non-coding RNA, 606 nt
Filed under: Brassica rapa (field mustard)
Lineage: Eukaryota; Viridiplantae; Streptophyta; Magnoliopsida; Brassicales; Brassicaceae
Description: long non-coding RNA (BRAP_LNC002942)
Source: RNAcentral
AGAGUAAGGGGACGACUGGUUUUCUCGCUACCACCCGCAAACGCAGCUUUUGCGGUUGGUUGCGAUUGUCGGUGGUUUGCAACAAUCACUCAAAUCGCUCUAAACCGCUUCAAACCGCUCUGAAUCUCAUAAAUUUAAAUGCUGGCUCCAGCUAGCGUUUGCGGUUGCGGGCGGUUGUGGGAGGGUAAAUUUUUUUUUUUUUUAAAACAAUAUAUAUACAAAAGUAAAAAUAUUUAAUAAAAAAUUUAAAAUUGAAAUUAUGAAAAUAUUAAAAUAUAUCUAUUAUAUUUUAAUUAAUAUUAUAAAAUUUUAUAAUAAAAACAAUUUCAAUAAAUUUUCAAAAAUUAAAAUUAUAACUUUCUAAAUAUAAAUUUUAUAUUUAUUAUAAUUUUCUGAUUUUUGAUAUUUUUAUAAUUAUAUUAAAUGUAAAUAUUGUUAAUUUAUUAUUUGACUGUUACCGUAUUUGGUAGUUAACCAGUCAUAAAUCACCCGCAAACGCACCAAUUUUUAGCCACAGUACCAGUCGUACAAAUCUCUUAAAACUGCUAGAAACUGCAACUGCUCGCAUCCACAAAUUCCCGCAACCGCAACCGCUGCGUUUGAACC